This 103-nucleotide small nucleolar RNA is filed under the name Gorilla gorilla gorilla (western lowland gorilla). RNAcentral's name for it is "Small nucleolar RNA U13". It matches the Rfam family "Small nucleolar RNA U13". The record is from Rfam by way of RNAcentral. Lineage: Eukaryota; Metazoa; Chordata; Mammalia; Primates; Hominidae.
AGGCUCUUGUCAUUUAUAAGUGUGAUGAUUGGGGUUUCACGCUCGUGUGUAACAUGUGCCUCCCACAUACCUGGUUACGAGUUGGCACAUCACCUGUCUGACG